This 255-nucleotide ribosomal RNA is filed under the name uncultured bacterium. Its description in RNAcentral is "partial 16S ribosomal RNA". It matches the Rfam family "Bacterial small subunit ribosomal RNA", at positions 524 to 776 of the family's 1533-position model. The record is from RNAcentral.
GACAGAGGUGCCGAGCGUUUAGGCGGAAUCACUGGGCUUAAAGCGUGUGUAGGCGGGCGGGCAAGUACCUUGUGAAAUCCCACGGCUCAACCGUGGAACUGCUGGGUAUACUGCCUGUCUUGAGCCAGUCAGGGGCAGUCGGAACAGACGGUGGAGCGGUGAAAUGCGUAGAUAUCGUCUGGAACGCCAAAGGUGAAAACAGACUGCUGGGACUGUGCUGACGCUGGAGACACGAAAGCCAGGGGAGCGAACGGG